Nomascus leucogenys (northern white-cheeked gibbon) is the source of this 578-nucleotide long non-coding RNA. RefSeq lists it as uncharacterized. The record is from RefSeq and is a predicted model, not a curated record. The transcript has 2 exons. Lineage: Eukaryota; Metazoa; Chordata; Mammalia; Primates; Hylobatidae.
AGGGACGGGAAGGAGGAGGACAGCGUGGCAAAGCUCCCCUGUGUGGCAGCCAGCCAGAUGCCGACGCCCAGCACGCCACAGCCUCCCAGCUGGGGCAUGGCAACAUGAGAGAGACAGACAGGGAAAAUGAGCUGUUCGAGCUCCCCUCGCCCCAUGGGGAUGUGUCUAAGGGCACAGGGAGGACGUGUGCAGAGUAACUGGUGCCAUGCCAGGUGUGGGACACCCUGUUCCAUGGGGGCUGGGCAGGAAGGGGCCCUACACCUCCAGCCCUGGGCCCCUCCCACAACUGUCCCAGCCCUGCUGGGAACUGAUUUCCCUAAUUAACACUCCAUGAAACAUCCUCACCUCCACCCAAGACGGCAGGAAAGAGACAUCCACUGUCAGCAGACGGGCUCGGUCACACACACUGACAGACAACAGCCCACGUUGCCACAGACGCCUCACACCGUCACACGUGGCCACAGACACGUGCAGUCUUGCCCUGCGACCUGGCGUCCCCCAGGCCCCGAGGCCCCAGCGUGCUGGCAGACCCACAGAUAAAAUGCAUGCACGUGGUUAAUAAAAUUACCUGCAAUUUC